RNAcentral lists this ribosomal RNA (809 nucleotides) under uncultured Microbacterium sp. Its description in RNAcentral is "bacterial SSU rRNA". It matches the Rfam family "Bacterial small subunit ribosomal RNA", at positions 566 to 1372 of the family's 1533-position model. The record is from RNAcentral. Lineage: Bacteria; Bacillati; Actinomycetota; Actinomycetes; Micrococcales; Microbacteriaceae.
AGCUCGUAGGCGGUUUGUCGCGUCUGCUGUGAAAUCCCGAGGCUCAACUUCGGGCUUGCAGUGGGUACGGGCAGACUAGAGUGCGGUAGGGGAGAUUGGAAUUCCUGGUGUAGCGGUGGAAUGCGCAGAUAUCAGGAGGAACACCGAUGGCGAAGGCAGAUCUCUGGGCGGUAACUGACGCUGAGGAGCGAAAGGGUGGGGAGCAAACAGGCUUAGAUACCCUGGUAGUCCACCCCGUAAACGUUGGGAACUAGUUGUGGGGUCCUUUCCACGGAUUCCGUGACGCAGCUAACGCAUUAAGUUCCCCGCCUGGGGAGUACGGCCGCAAGGCUAAAACUCAAAGGAAUUGACGGGGACCCGCACAAGCGGCGGAGCAUGCGGAUUAAUUCGAUGCAACGCGAAGAACCUUACCAAGGCUUGACAUACACGAGAACGGGCCAGAAAUGGUCAACUCUUUGGACACUCGUGAACAGGUGGUGCAUGGUUGUCGUCAGCUCGUGUCGUGAGAUGUUGGGUUAAGUCCCGCAACGAGCGCAACCCUCGUUCUAUGUUGCCAGCACGUAAUGGUGGGAACUCAUGGGAUACUGCCGGGGUCAACUCGGAGGAAGGUGGGGAUGACGUCAAAUCAUCAUGCCCCUUAUGUCUUGGGCUUCACGCAUGCUACAAUGGCCGGUACAAUGGGCUGCGAUACCGUAAGGUGGAGCGAAUCCCAAAAAGCCGGUCCCAGUUCGGAUUGAGGUCUGCAACUCGACCUCAUGAAGUCGGAGUCGCUAGUAAUCGCAGAUCAGCAACGCUGCGGUGAAUACGUU